This is a non-coding RNA of Arachis ipaensis, 490 nucleotides long. NCBI's taxonomy places the organism in Eukaryota, Viridiplantae, Streptophyta, Magnoliopsida, Fabales, Fabaceae. The record is from RefSeq and is a predicted model, not a curated record.
AGGUUGCAUUUUUUUAGAAUAUCUUUGAAUGUUAGUACAAUUUCUUUUGGUAUCAAAAGUUGAACUAUGAUAUAGCCUCGUUGCUGAUUAACUUAUUUUAUCUAACUGAUUUUGACCCUGAUUUGGUGGUUGAGUAUUUUGGAUUCUUGACAUGGAUUUCAUCUUUGUUCCACGAGUAAUACCGAUCUACCUUACUGAUUUCUAGGUGCACUGAAGCAUGUUAAGUUGCAGCAUGGGGCAGACAAAAAUUGAACUUCUCCAAAGCAAAUCGGUGGUUCGCAAGUGCCACAAACCAGAGACAAUGUAAGCAUGAGAAGGCUCAAUCCUGGAAUAUGUAUCAAUAACUAGGGUAAGACCAAUACAUUGUUGAUGUUGAAAAGUUAUGAACUGCAAUGUAUGGGAAUGAACCAUAUCAAACGGAUAAAAUGUAGUCAAUUUAAUCUGAUAAAUGUAUAAUUGCAUAAGAAAUUUAAUCUUUGAUUAUUAUUUU